RNAcentral lists this long non-coding RNA (25716 nucleotides) under Brassica napus (rape). RNAcentral describes it as "long non-coding RNA (BNAP_LNC019146)". The record is from RNAcentral. Lineage: Eukaryota; Viridiplantae; Streptophyta; Magnoliopsida; Brassicales; Brassicaceae.
GCCACCAACCUCACAACGCUCUCCUCCUCCGCCGCCUAUAGAACGUCCCGUUCAGUCUCCACCUCCACCUUCACCGCCUUCAGAGCGUCCUGUUCAGUCUCCACCUCCACCUUCACCGCCUUCAGAGCGUCCUAUUCAGUCUCCACCUCCAUUUUCACCGCCUUCAAGUCGUCCCCCUUCAUCUCCUCCUUCUCCUUCGCCGCCUUCAGAUCGUCCCAUUCAGUCUCCUCCUUCACCACCAGAAAACACCAGUCCACCGCCUUCAGAUUCUUUGCCACCACCAACAUUCUCUUCUCCUCCGGUACCAGGUCCCAAUAAUCCACCUCAAAACAACCUUACUCCUAGUUCUCCUGAUACUUCAAAUCCAACUCAUAGUACUAGUGGCAUCGGUACUGGACCUAUCCUUGGCAUCACCGUCGCAGUGGCGCUUGUGGUGUUCAGUCUCAUUGGCCUCCUUAUCUGGUGCAUAAGAAGACGAGAAAAACGGCUUUCAGCUGUUAGUGGUGGCUACGUCACACCAUCACCAAGAUCAGGUACUACUUUGAUUAACAUGUCACUUUUGUUUCUUACAUAAUGCCAUUUCUUGAUCUCUCACUACACAUGCACAGACUCAGCUUUCUUUAGAACGCAGUCAUCUGCACCAGGGAGUCAUCGCACGUACUUCUCACAGUCACAAUCAGGCGGGUUAGGCAACUCAAAGGCCUUGUUCUCGUACCAAGAACUUGUCAAGGCAACGAACGGGUUCUCGGAAGAGAAUCUAUUAGGAGAAGGUGGAUUUGGUUGUGUAUAUAGAGGGGUGUUACCAGAUGGGAGACUCGUAGCUGUGAAACAGCUUAAAGUAGGUGGAGGACAAGGUGACCGUGAGUUCAAAGCUGAGGUUGAGACGCUUAGCAGAAUCCAUCAUCGUCAUUUGGUUUCCAUCGUGGGACAUUGCAUCUCUGAUGACCGUAGAUUGCUUAUUUAUGAUUUUGUCUCUAACAAUGACCUUUACUUCCACCUUCAUGGUUAGUAAAAAAGCAUUUUACAAUUCAUAUAUACAUGGAUGCACACACCACUGGUACUUACAUUACGUCUUCUGAAUAGUAUCCAAAGAGGUUCUGGACUGGGCAACACGAGUUAGAAUCGCUGCUGGUGCAGCUCGUGGACUAGCUUACCUCCAUGAAGAUUGUAAGUUGCUUCUCACCUCACUGGUUUUAACCUUUUCAGUCAUUUUUUCUUGCUUUUGAUUGUAACCUUUUAAACCAUUUGGCUAUUCUUACUGAGCUGUCUAUUGUCAGGUCACCCGCGGAUCAUCCACAGGGACAUUAAGUCGUCUAACAUUCUUUUAGAGGACAACUUUGAUGCUCGGGUAACACAUUACUCCCCCUAUUCUUGAUUUUUCAAGGUUUUAGUUACAUGGUGACUAGUGCCGGUCCUGAGAUUUGGGGGAGGCUUCAGGUGAUUUAGUAAAGGUUUUGAAUAAUUUUUUUUUUUACAAAUUUGGGAAACUAUAUCUAUAUAAUUCGUUUCAAAAAAUUUGUGGGCUUUAGGCUAAUGUUUCACUAGGCUAUGCCCAAGACCGGCUCUAAUUAUUGGUGAAUUUGACAAUAUCUAAACCUCUCACUCUCUUGUAGGUUUCUGACUUUGGUCUUGCAAGAUUAGCUCUUGAUUGUAACACUCAUAUCACCACAAGGGUUAUGGGAACAUUUGGGUACAUUCUUGCUUGCCUAGUUUUGAUUAAAGGGCACAAGAUUGGCAUCUACUUGAUAUUUUUUUUACCUCAUUCAUCCUUUUGCAGCUACUUGGCUCCUGAAUAUGCAUCAAGUGGGAAACUAACAGAGAAAUCAGAUGUAUACUCCUUUGGAGUUGUUCUUCUUGAGUUAAUCACUGGACGUAAACCUGUUGAUACAUCUCAACCACUUGGAGAGGAGAGCCUUGUUGAAUGGGUACACCUUCUAUUCCAACCUUACUUAACCUGUAAAACAUGAUUAGUCCUUGAGCUGUUUCCCAGCUCUGUUGUUGUUCAGGCACGGCCACUGAUAAGUCAUGCCAUCGAAACCGAGGAGUUCGGUUCUUUAGCAGACCCUAAGCUUGGAGGAAACUAUGUGGAUUCCGAAAUGUUUAGAAUGAUUGAAGCAGCAGGAGCCUGCGUGCGCCAUUCAGCUGCCAAGAGACCCCGGAUGGGUCAAGUACAUAACAUUUUCUCUUCUUGUUUACUCUCAAGAGUUUUUUACUUUUGCUUAGAAAUUUGAAAUGUUUUUAUUGGCAGAUUGUGAGGGCUCUUGAGAGUUUAUCUGCGGAAGACCUCACUAAUGGGAUGAGACUAGGUGAAAGCGAGGUCUUUGACUCAGCUCAACAGUCAGCAGAGAUCAGAUUGUUCAGAAGAAUGGCUUUUGGUAGCCAAAACUACAGUACAGAUUUUUUCACACAUACUAGCUACAACAGCAGAGACCAAAACGUGUAAAUAUCAUACACAAGAUAUGUUUUUUUUUAUCUUCUCGGCGUUAAGAGGGAACAAAACCCAUCAAGAACAGCUAAGUUUUGUCUGAAAAGCUCCCAAGCUCACUUUCUUGAGUGCUCAAAACAGUAUGAAUCUCCUUUUGUUUCUUUGUUUACUCUUAACUUGUGUUCAUGUUCUUGUGUCCAUAUGGUGAAACUAAAGAGACUACCAAAUACAAUUUGCAGAAACAGACGAGCAUGUGGUAGAGGAAGAUGAGGAAUAAAGGUUUACUUAUGUUCUUGAGCAAGAGGGUUUUGUUUCUUACAUGAAAGCACUUUUUGUAUCUAUUUUUUUUUAUGUUUCUAAUUUUUUUUUAAAUCUUUACCUUCAAGUUUUAUGAUAAAUCAACAAGGAUCUUUCUGUGUCUCGUUGAAGAACGUGUUGAUCUGGCUCAAGUUAUACAUCUAAGAAGACGCAUUUACCCCUAUGAAUCACCAUGAUGGAGAGUAUAAUCAAAGGAACGUAGGAAACAAAAGAAUCUUAGUUGCUUUGACGUCCAAGAUACCUAAACAAUGCUUUUUUAAAGUGUAAAGAUCCCUUGUGGAUUUUCAUACAGUUAUGAGAAAAAACAAACACAUGGGAUGUUGCUUUGCGUUGCAUUGUUGAUACCAAUAUUGGCAAAGGAACACAUUCCUUUGACACAAUCCUAUGUAACCUCUCAAUCUAUGUUUCCUCCUUCCUUUAUAUCUUUGUUGUUUUACCUUAACAGUUUUCAAUGCAUCAAAAACAAUGGAACAAGAUUGUGGUGCUUUUACAGCAGAUUGUGUUGUCCUCUGUUGCUGCUGUGAGUGCUUUAUCCUACAGUUCUUUAUCUUCGUCUUCUACAAGAUGCCUUCUAAAGUUGCUCACAAGAUGAAGAGGUUUGUCAUCAGGAGGCUGCUCAGAGGAAAGAAGAGAAGAUUGCUGCCUGCAAAGGAUGAGGAUUGCAGAGAAGAGGAGCGUUUGCCUGGUGAUGUCUCCAGAGUUAGUUGCAUGGAAGAUAUUGAGGAGAUGUUGCAUGAGCUCUCCAUGGAGGGAGAGUUUGUAUUUGGGAGUUUCUGGCGUCAAGGAGAGACUACAAACGAUUUUGACUUCGGAAACUCACAAUAUGAAAUAGAAGAAACCAAUGAUCAUUCCUUUGUCAUUGCUCAUCACACAAGAUGUCUUCAUUGCUCUAAGAAUGACAAUAUAUUAAAGGAAUCUUGAAAGAGCCAAAGAGAAAAGACUUAGAUGCUAUCUCUCUACUAGAAGUAUGGUGUAUAAUCUUCAGAGUUCACUGUAAGAAUCUACUUUGUUAAUCAGGCAAGGCGCUCAAGAAUCAGAAUGUACAACUGGUUAACAGUCUAUUUACGUCCUGGCAAGUCGGUUGUAAAAUGGUUAACUCAUGAUUCAGGCUCUGACCUCCUCACUGAUCUCUUUUUAGCUUCUAAUCUUGCGGUGAACCCAACUGUUGUAGGCCUUAUUGAUCUUUGCCUCACCAUAUCACAGUACUCAGGGUCAUUACACUGACCCUCAUACCUCAGCCACUGUAUCAUCCCAUGGUACAUUGGGAAGAACCUCAUCUGAACCGCGGAGUAGAUGAAGUAAGGCAGCAAAGUAGAUACAACCACAAAGAGAGUGAUGACCCAGUAAGAAAGCGACGGCGCCAGAGCUUCAACAAAGACUCUAUACGCACUGGUUGAUAUACUCGCUGGAAGCUCUCCGUAGACGGUCAUGAAGAGGUACCAAACGAGGAUGGAUCCCCAAAUGACAAUGUGCUGGAUGAGUGUGAAGUAACUGAUGGCUAAUGCCAUCUGCAAGUUCACAACCCAGACGAUGCAUGUGUACAUUGUCCCUCCUAAUAUCUCUUUCCCAGGGGUUUUGCCUUGGUGGUUGAAAGCUUGUGGCUCAAGAGAGCUUUUGCAGAGGAAGAAGAUGAUUACUGCGCUGUAGAAUCCGUUGAACAUCCAUCCAAGUAUCCUCCGCCAGCUGAAGAGAACGUUUUGCACACCUUCUUGGUAUAACAGUGGAAACUGUGAAUCCAAAGACAAAACAAAGAGUUUAGUACACAUUGUUUAAUACUCUCUCCGUUCCCGAAAGAAUAUAUUAAAAAUACAAUAUAUGGUUACAAUUAAAUUUAUUAUUUAUUUUUACUAUACACUUUCCAAUAACUAUCAACCAAUGAUAUUUAAUCAAUUUAAAUAAGUUUAAUUAAUAUUUCUUAAUUAUAUACAAAAGUACUUUAAAAAUAUUGAAAAUCUAGUAUUUAUGGAACAAGAGGGAGUAUGUCAGAAGAGUAAAGCUGUUUUAAUGUAAUGAAAGAAGUUUACCUUGAGACAGUACCGUGCAGAUACAUCUUGGUCGAAGACACCAAGAGCAAUAACCGGAAGGGACGAGAAGCAAACAUUGUAAAGAGAUAGGAACCAAUCGUUGUAAGCAGGUGUUGAUGAGAAUGUUGUGUAUGCUUCAUACAAGAAGAGAGUGAAACCAAACGUAAUGUUCUUGUAGAAGAAGUAGCAAAUCUGUGAAACAGAGAAAACUACUGUCAAGAUUAUGUUAAAGAGACUCAUGUCACACGCACACUAAAGUGGGUAUAUACCAUUGUUGAGAUACGCCUGUAACACCAGUGUCCAUGGACUAAUAACAAACGUUCCAGAUAUCUAAACUGAGCAAUCGCAAUGUCACUUGACAUUACAGCCUGCAUGCCUUCCACACCGCUGAUGCCCACACCAAUAUCUGCUUCUUGAAGCAUCCCAACAUCAUUUGCGCCAUCACCAAUAGCUAAUGUUGUUUUACCAUUUCCAGAUUUUACUAGCCUUGUCACCUACAUUUGCCAUGUACUUCUUGAGAAAAAUCUUGACAGUAAACAAAAGUUUAAACCAAAGAAACUGACCAGAGCUUUCUGUUUUGGUGAUGAACGACAGCAAAUGACAGAAGCACAACCAACGGCGAGCUCUAAGAAGAUGUGUUUUAUAUCAUCGUCCAAGGCGUAAGCAAGUGACUUCCCAUCAAUGAUCAAAGCAAAAGCAUCAGAGUUCCCACCAGCAUACUUUAGCUGAGUCUUUCCAUUGAUUAUCUGCAAUAAGACAUUCUCUUUUGAUGCCUGCAAGAUCAAACCAACCACUUUGAUUCAUUUUAUCUUACAUAAUCUUCUGAAGAACUAUCAAUGUUUUUUUUAAAAAACCUUAGCAAUGGCAUCUUUCUCUCCAGUUUUCUCCAGUGAGUGGAUCUCAGGGGUCUCCAAGUUGAUUAUGAUCUGCUUCAUGUCUUGUCUGAGUAAACUACUGGCAAAGCUGUCAAAGAGACGCAUACAAAAGAGUUCAUAGAGUGGAGAGAAUAAACAAACAAAAAAAACUAUAUACAUGAACUCAAAGAGUAGGUGAUACCCAGAAAAAUAGAUACCCAAUAUUGAUAGCAGUCUCCAUUUUGUCACCAGUCAAAACCCAAAUCUUGAUUCCUGCUUGUGCUAGCUUGUCAAUGCAAUCAGGGACCUGAAAAAAAUCAAUGUUAAAAGUGUUUUCAAUACACUAAAAUGAUUAUAUGUAUAACAUCAGUGGCCAUGCUUACUCCAUUUUGGAGUUUAUCCUCAACAGCGGUAGCUCCAAGAAGGAUCAAGUCUUUCUCAACUUUCUCCGUGACUUCCUCUAUCAAUGAUUCUCUAUCAGCACUAACCGAGCUCUUUGCUUCACUGAUUCUCACACUAAAAUCUUUGUAUUCUUUCUCGUCGAGUUCACGGUAUGCAAGUAUCAAAGUUCUAAGGCCUGCAUCAGCAUACUCGUUGACAUGGUCCCUUGUUUCCACCUCAAACUCUCUACCGUUCUUAGAAAGUCUCUCAAACAUAACACUGGUCAAAGAAACAAAAUAAGUUCAAAAAAGAAGAUAUGUUUUUUUUUUAAUAAAGUCACACUUACUUGUCUGCUCCUUUACAAAGUAGUAAGAGCUUCCCAUCUUCAUCCUGCACUAUCACCGACAUUCUCUUCCUUGUGCUGUUGAACUCAAGAACGUUCAGCACUUUGUACAGCCUCUCAACUCUUUUGCCAGUCACAAGAUCAAGCUCUCUUACAGAUAUACUAGUUUGAGUUCUGUUAUAAAACUCAAACCCAAGCUCCCUUGCUGCAAUAACAAAAGCUGCUUCAUCAGGAGACUCAGCCUCAUAAGAGAUCUUCUCUGUGUCCUCAUCCCCUUCAGGUAUCACCGUAUGGCACACCGCAAGCAAUCUCAAAAACUUCUGAAUAACAUCAGCGUGAGGUUCAGUGACCCAGUUCCCAUUCAUUAUCCUCUCAUCUCUAAAAUUAAACCCUUUCACCUUGGCCUCUUCAGCAAACGGUUCCUUAUUGUACUCCACAUCAUCGCUCUGAAGCACCAGAGGAGAGCCUUUCCUCCUUCCCAUAGCCAUCUCAACCUCAGUGACGCCGCGUCCGUAAGCCGUCCCGGCGACAGAACACUUGAUGAACUCCAUGGAGUUGCAAGUCAAUGUCCCAGUCUUGUCGGAGAGGAUUGUAUCCACCUGACCAAGCUCCUCGUUUAAAUUAGAGGUUCUUGCACGAGCCGGCUUGUUGGCUUCCUCGUAGUACAUGUGGAUGUCUUGGUUGAUGAAGAUGCUCUGAAGGACUUUAACAAUCUCUAUCGAGACAUACAAAGAUAUUGGAAUGAAGUAGCUGUACAGCAUAGCCGCUGUUAGGAAGUGAUAGAAGGCAGCAACAUGAGCUCUCUUGGGGUCAAAGAAGAUAGAUGAGCUGUCUGGUCUCAAGUACCAUCUCUUCACCACACUGUCCUUGAAGUCAUCUCUCGUUGUGACUCCAAAGAUGACUGAGCCAAUGAAUGACAUCAGAACCACCAUGAAGAACAUGAGGUAGAUGAUCUUAUCCAUCUUUCUCUCAAUCAUGCUUCUCUUGGAAGGAGGAUCCGUUGAGUUCUGUAUGACCUUUGUGUCGUGACCGGUGAAGAUAACCGCGCCGAAGAUGAACUCCGUGUUCCUGAGCUUUGAGUCUCUGAGGAGAAGCUGCUGAGGCGAGAGAGGGUACUUGGUUCCUUUGAGCUCCAUGGUUCCGACAAAGGAGUACAAGUUGGCGUUUGGAUCCUCGCAUUUGACAAAAGCCUCAAAGCCCUUGAAGUUAAAGUCUUCCCUCAAGGAGGAAGUGACUUCUAGUCCUUGUUUGACUUUGAGAUUGGUUUCGCCGUCUAGGUUCAUCGUCUCUACGUAGCAGAUAGCGUCCUCGUAGCUAGAUGAAAGGAGAACAAGAUCUGCAGGGAAGAACUGGUUCUUUUCUACCUUCACUAUGUCUCCGACGCUUAAAGUCUUCCACUCCUUGGAAUCAAAGUUCCCAUCUCCUCUAUGCACUUUUACUCUCCUAUUAUUCACCUCAAUAUCCUAAUAACAUGAAAAUGCUUGUAUCUUUCAGACAAGAUCAAGAAAAAGACUAGUCAUGGGCAUAUUAUCCGAAACCCGAAAACCGAACUGGAGCUGAACCGAAUAAACAAAACCAAAACCCGACCAAAGUUUACAAAAACUCGAACGGUUCCUAUUUCUCUAUUCUCUACAAAAAAAAAUGGAAACCCAACCUGAAACCGACAUUAUCCGAACCCAUCCGAUCCAAAAGAUUCUAUAUUUGCAAAUACUCUCGGAAUAAGAAAUCAGUGUAGGCAGCGUCUAGGCGCCGCUUAGUGGAUAAAUCGGAUCUGAAUGAAACGAUAUUUUCAAUCCAUUCUUUUAAAAAGAAAUUGGUCUAGAUGUUCAAAAAAUCGUUCUUGGCAAUAAUUCUCUAUGAUGCGCCUAACCACUACUUAGCGCGAUUUAUUGAACAUUAAACAAGACCAUAAUUAAGAUUGCAAGAAACUAAAGAAUCAAAGAGUGUACCUGCUUGUUGCGGCGCCAAUCUUCAACACCUUCUUUAACCAUAGUAGCACCAAUAACGAAAAGGAGAGGAAAAAUGGCACUUGCAGCAGUGUAAGGAGCCAAGGGAGUGAAAGACAAGACGCCAGUGACCAAGAAGUAGAAGUUUGCGACUCUUCUGAACUGCUCAAAGAGCGAUUUUGGUAAGAAAGUGGCGAGAGUGUACUUGGUUGUUCUCACGUAGUUGUCGCUGUAGCUGCUCGAGUCAGCUUCGGGUGAAUCAGGCUCGUUGAUGAAGACGAGACGAGAGUAACCGGGUCCUCCGAUUUGAGAGUGGUCUUGCUUGAAAAACGCUUGAGUGCAUGUGAGUGUGUAGAGCUUGCUUAAGUGGAUUCUUCUCCUUCUUCGUCUCUUUAGUCCACUUCCUGCCAUUGAUAGAGAGAGAUCUGCAGGAGACAACAAAAAACUUUGAAUCUUUUUUGGAUAUUCAAGAAACCCUGAAAAUUAUAUUCAGACAGAACCGAAUUAUUAUAAUAACACCCGCGAGAACAUUUUAAAAAUGAAGAAAAAUAAAAGUAUCAUUUUUUGGCUUUUUUAAAUUAAAAGAAAAAGAAAAGAAAAAAAAAAGACAGUAAGCGAUUAAGGCAGGACCUCAAACCAACCGAGGAGAAAAGCAGACAAGACCGUGACUGGUUUUAUUCUCCGACCUCGUUUUCUGCGACUCUCUCCGGUUACCUAAAUUUGUUUUUUUUCUUUCUCGGGAAAAUGGAUUUAGAAAAAUUGAGUGAGUGAGAGAGCUGAGAUCAAGAAGGGUGUUUACGAAAGGUUGUGAUCUAUUAUGAGAAAGUUAAGAUCUUUUUAAUCUUACAAGCCAAGAAAAUGGAGCUUGAGUGAGAGAGAUCUCAUGGAUUUUUAUGAAUUUAUAGCCAGAAUGAUCUUCUGCCAAUCCAAACAAACUGGGAAGACGAAGAGGACGAGGAAGAAAGAAACAGAGAGAAAGUGCCAAGAUUCGGACAAGUCAUGGUUCCCUUUCUAGAAAUAAUUAAUAAUAAUGUUUGAUGGAAUAACAACAGCAAAUCUCAAAUCCUCUCAUAAAAAAAAAUAAUAAUUAAAAGCAUUCAAUAGAAGGAAACAAACUUUUGCUCUGUGUACAGACAGAACACAGAAAACUGGACUUCUUUUUUUUUUUUAAUUUGUAUGUUCUAAUGAUUGUCAGAUUAUCAGAAGAACAUACGAGAAAAAAAAAAAGAAGUGAGAAUUAAUUUUGGUUAGAGAGGGGAGAGAUGAAGAAGGAGAAGAAUCGAUUGGAGGAACAUUAGAUGCGCCGUCGUGGCUGAGAGAAGGUGAGACCAGCACACAAAAUGCGGGUCAAACACACUUUAAAUUCAUCUAUUGCAUGAAUGAAUUCUUCUUAUUAUUAUUUAAUAGUAUAGAUAUUCUCUCUUUAUUACUUCCUCCCUUUCGAUAUAAAUGAUGUCUCAGGUGAUUUUUUUUAUUUCAUAAUAGAUGAUAUUUUCACGUAACAAUAGAUGAUGUUUUCACAUAUCUAAUUAAUUUUAAUUUUAUCAAAAACUGUGUAGCCAAUUGUGUUUUUAUUAUUUUUGUUUAUAAUUAAAUAAAUUAGUUUUAAAUUAUAUUUUAAUGAUUUUUGUCUAGAAAAUAUAAUUUUUUUAAUAUGUGUGCAAAGAACCAAAACUUUAUCUAUUAUGAAACGGAGGGAGUGGUAUAUAAGUGACUCUUGCAGCAAAGGAUUGAUCCUUCUGGUAUAACCCAACCAUAAAUAGGAGGACUGUACAUUUAAUUAGAGUAAUUAAAAUGUGAUAUUAUUCUAUUUUUAAACCAUUAUAUUAUAUAUGCUCAUAUUACUUUUCUUCAUUUUCUCUUUGACUAAUAAUAUAUAUAAUGAGUACAACUCUAUAAAAAUGGAAUAAUUAAAUAUAAGAUGUUCUUAUGUUGAUUGCAAAAGUUCAUAUUAUAAUGAGAGUACUGAUGAACGAAGGUAGUCACGUCACAUAAGACUCACCAAAAGCACAUUAAAAUCGAUCUUCCAGUCAUAUUAUUAAGUUGAUCCGAUCCCACCAGACAAAACCCCAGUCUCGAGAUCAUAUGGAGAUAUCUUUUUUUAUGAUACUGUUGGAUUGCUUAUAGACUAUAGUGAAGGGAAUUUUUAGCUAACUCAAUCAGAUCCGAUCCAAUACAAGAAUGGAUGGUAGUUCAAACAAUUUAGAUAAAUGAAUUUAAACAUGGAAGAUCAUGAAUGUCAACAUAUCAUAUGCACAUUUUUGUUUGGUUUAAAAUUCAAAAUCCCACAAACACUCAAUUUAUCAUAAUAGUGCUAAUAAUGAAAUAUUUUUUUGCUCAAUGAGUUGGGGGAAGGACUUUAUAUUCUCAAGAAUUUGGUAUGGGUUAUUAGGGGACUUUGGAUUUAAUGCAUAAAACAUGCCACCGGCUUUGUAUAGUUUGGUAUGCAUCAUUUAUUGAAUGAAUGUGGCUUUCAAGUUUCAACUAAAUGUACUUCCUGGUUCACAAAUACCUCAUAAUUUAUUAAAAUGAAAAUUGAACAAUUAUAUUGAUUCAUAUCGUUAGUUUUGCUCUGUUUGAAACGCUAAUGCAUGCAAUUAAUCAACUUCCUCUUGGUGACAAAAAAUAAAUAAACUAAACGUCUGUUUCUGCCUUUCUAGGUAUCACUUAUGUAGAGGCAUACUUUUUGUUUGCAGCCUCUUAGGUUUUCUCCUGUUUUAGCCAUUACUAUGCUACAGCAAUGAAAGGUGUGUAAAAUCUAUAAUAGAUUCUAAAGAUCACGAUCAAUUAUUUUAUGCAUUUUGUUUCAUGCACACGCAAUCAUCGUAAUACCUAAUAGCGCUGGGAAUUUGAGUUUACGGUUCGGGUUAAGUCGGGUUAUUCGGGUUUCAAGUUAUUGAGGUUGUGGUGUUUAGGACUCGCUCAUGAACCGAACAUUUUUUUGGAUAGGGUCAGUUUUGGUCGGGCUCCUAUCUUUUUAUAAAACCCAAAACAUAACCGAGAAUUAGAAAUUGUUCGGAUUUAGUGUGUGGCGUUUGAUUUUGACUGCGAGGGAUCUUCCGCCGGAAUGGUUUCCGCACGACCCGGAGUGGACUUCUUCCAUUAUUCUUCGAGCUUUCUCUCCCUCUACGCAGGUCAUGAGUGGCCCGGAAAAUCUCCACUUGUAGAGUUCUCCGUCGACCAAGACGUAUCGCGCGGAUUGGGUCUUAAUCUUUCGGGCUGCCCAUUUUUCUGCCGGGAGUUUCCGUCGGCGAUGUAUGCGAGGAUAGAUUAUGUCCAAGGUUUACUGAAUCCAUACUCGGACAGCUCUGGAUCCUGCACUGCCUGGAUGUCGACUUCGUCGGGAUCGCCGUCGGGUGAAUCGAUUAAGUUUAUAAUGACAAGAGGCCCGAUGCUAGGAUGCUCUAUGAACUCUAUGGGAAUUACCCUGCUCAACCCCGGAUCUGAACUAGACGCCAAGGCGGCUAGGGCGUCGACCUGAACGUUUUCGGCACGAGGGAUCCGAGUGAGAGCGAACUGAUCGAAACUUUGAACCAAGUUUUGAACAAGAUUUAGGUAAGCAUCCAUUCUCUCGUCCCUUGCUUCGUAUUCCCCGUUGUAUUGGCUUGCUACAAGUUGGGAAUCGCAAUAGGCGUGAAUGCUGCGUAUCUUCAGGCCGUGAGCCAAUCGUAAGCAUGUGAUUAGGGCUUCGUACUCGGCUUCAUUGUUUGAGGCGUGGAACACUAGUCGAAAUGACUGUUCAGCACUUCCCCACAAACUUGACUAGCAAUUACAGCCAUAUACUUUGUUAUUACGUCCAUUGACUACCAUUUUACAGUCAUAGACUUCAUUACGUUUAUUGACUUACGUGUGGUAUACUUUUUUAUUAAUAAAUUAUACUUUAUAUAUAAUUAUUUUAAAAUUAAAUAAAUAAUAUUGUUUUGUAUUUUGGAUAUUCGAUUAUUUGUUCGAUUUCCGAUGGUUCUAGUUUUUUGGGCUUAGAGAAAUAAAAACUGUUCGGAUUAUUAUAAAUUUUGGUUUGGUUUCAGUUUUGCUUUUUUCUGAUUUGGUUAUAGUUCUGUUUUGGGGUUUUGGAUAAUAUACCAUAUUAAGUAAAUCAUCUUAACGUCGUUUUAGCUAAAUCACUUUCCUAAAUUUUAGUAGAGUUAAACAAUGUUCAAGCUCAUUUUAAAGAUCAGUCCUGUGAUUAAAUUUGUUGACGAUUGUUCGUCGUCAGCGAAUAUCGUUGAUGCUAGUUUUUAUAGUGUGCAUGGAUAUGCUGUAGGCGUUUUAAACGUUUAAGAAUAAACUUGACUCAUCUUGAGUUUGGGAUCUAGUUCCUUUCUUUGAUAUUUGUUUGCGGCCAAGCAUUACAAUAACAUGAAGGGAGUUUGGAAGACAUAACAAAAUCUUUCCUAGUGGUGCUCAAUUAUAAUACAAAUGCGCGCGAUUGACCCCAGGGGAGGGGGGGAGAUUAUUGGGCCAUAUUGGACCGAUGUAUCUAUUGUAAGUAGCCCGGUUCAUAUUACGGGAUUAGGGCAAAAGAACAUACGUUGUAUAUAAGCAGUUAGUCUGCGUUACUUGAUGAAUAAGAAGUAUCCUUUAUACUGCUGAGACUUCUUGACAUGGUAUCAGAGCAAGAAGCCUAAGUACUACAAGUUUUCUUGGCUCACUGAUUUUGAGAUCUCUUUAUCCGUUGCGAGGUUUGAUAAGUUAACAACUUCUCUUUGAAGCAAAGUAUAUAUGGCUGGUACUACAAUGACGAAGGGGCGACGUACAAUUUCGCCCUAUGACCUUACUUCUGGCGAUAACACAGUGACUGUCAUUGCCAAACCGCCUUUGCGUGGAUCUAACUACGACGAGUGGUCCACAGACCUUAAGUUAAAGAAAUUUGGUUUUGCGGAUGGGACAAUACCGCAACCCAGUGAAGAUUCAGAGGAUUAUGAAGAUUGGAUCGCAAACAAUGCACUUGUGGUAUCUUGGAUGAAGUUGACGAUUGAUGAGAACAUCUCAACUACCAUGUCUCAUAUCGAUGACUCUCAUGAACUCUGGACUCAUAUACAGAAUCGUUUUGAUGUUAAGAAUGGACAACGCGUUCAACGUCUUAAGACUGAUCUAGCGAACUGUAGACAGAAGGGAACUGUUAUUGAGACUUAUUAUGGGAAACUGUCUCUGUUAUGGAGGAGUUUAGCUGACUACCAAAAGGCUAAAAUUAUGGAAGAAGUAAGAAAAGAACGUGAGGAAGAUAAGUUGCAUCAAUUUCUCAUGGGGCUCGAUGAAACACUAUAUGAAGCAGUUAAAUCAUCAUUGUUGUCUCGUGUGCCUUUGCCAACGCUUGAGGAAGCGUACAACACUUUGAUUCAAGAUGAAGAAUCAAAACUAUUGGGACGCAUGAAUGAAGAACGCACUGACACUGUGAGUUUUGCAGUCCAAGCUGGCUCACGAUCGCGCCCUUCUAAUGAGAAUAGAGGAUUUUCUGAAAACAAAGUCUGUUCAAAUUGUGGUCGCAAGGGACACACGUCGAAGAACUGUUUUCGCCUAAUAGGAUAUCCAGAGUGGUAUGAAGAGAAACACAAGAACAAGCUGGGUUCCUCUCGCGGCAAUUUGAAUUCUGGUGCUGGGCGUGGCUCGAAUAUGCAAGGUGGUGUUUCACAAGGAAGGGGUAAUGGUGCUGGUCGGAGCUCUGCUCAGGCGAGUCAUGUUUUUGCGGGUGGAGCUUCAUCAUCUCCUUCUCUUACUUCAGCUGAUCGAAUGGGCAUAAGUGGACUGAGUGAUUCUCAGUGGAAGACACUUGUUCACAUGCUCGAGGAAAGAAAAACCACACCUAUGGAGCAUCGCUCUGGUAAGCAAUUUCUUGAAUCAUGGAUAUUUGAUUCUGGUGCGACUAAUCAUAUGACUGGAUAUUAUGAGUAUUUGUCUGAAGUUGGUGAUAUGGCUCCUGUUUUAAUCAAACUUCCGGAUGGUCGUUUUACUACUUCGACUAAACACGGAUACGUUCGUUUGGGUUCUUCUUUGAGCCUGCAGGAAGUAUUCUUUGUAGAUGGACUUCAUUUUCAUCUAAUAUAUGUUUCUCAGUUGACUCGAGACAGUGGUUGUGUUUUUCAAGUUACUGACAAGCUUUGUAUUCUUCAGGAUCGCAUCACGAGGAUGCUGAUUGGUGUGGGUGAGCAGGACAAUGGGCUUUAUUUUUUUAGAGGAUUGGAAAUGGCAGCAGCAGUACACGGUCAGAUUCGAACUCGACCGAUGUGUGGCACAGUCGCCUUGGACACCCCUCCUCUAAAGCCUUAAAGAUGUUGCAGUUUUCUGAUUUCAGUACUAGUUCUUUUGAUUCAAAGCUGUGUGAGAUUUGUAUUCGAGCAAAACAAACAAGAUAUUCUUUUCCUUUAAGCAUCAAUAAGACGAGUUUUGCAUUUUAACUGGUUCACUGUGAUCUUUGGGGUCCGUAUAGGACUACUGCAAUCUGUGGAUCGAGAUAUUUUCUCUUUGUUCUAGAUGAUUACUCUUGGGCAGUGUGGAUAUAUCUCUUACCUUCAAAACAAGAGGCACCCACGCAUCGCAAAAACUUCAUCGCUUUGGUUCAGAGACAAUUCUCGAUUCAAGUAAAAACAAUUCGUAGUGACAAUGGAUCCGAAUUUGUUUGUCUCUCACGUUUCUUUGCGGAACAUGACAUCAUCCAUGAGACAAGCUGUGUGGGUACUCCACAACAAAACGGACGGGUUGAACGGAAACACAUGCACAUACUUAAUACUGCACGUGCGCUGAGGUUUCAAGCGAACCUCCCCGUUGAUUUCUGGGGUUUAUGUGCUCUUACUGCUGCAUACCUUAUAAACAGAACACCGACAAAGCUUCUUCAAGGGAAAACGCCGUUUGAGAUGAUUUAUCACAGAUCACCACCAAUGGAUCAUCUCCGAGUAUUUGGUUAUGUUUGUUACGUUCAUAACCAAAAGCAUAGAGGUGAUAAAUUUGAAAGUAGAAGCAAUCGAUCAAUAUUUAUUGGGUAUCCUUUUGCAAAGAAAGGAUGGCGUGUCUACAAUUUAGAGACCGAUGUUGUAUCAGUCUCACGGGAUGUGGUAUUUCUCGAAACAGAGUUCGCGUAUCCACCAACAUCGAUCUCUUCUCCGACUGAUGAUGAACCUGAUCAGCCUACUGCAGCUGAUCCGAAUGAUCUAGACUCUCUAGUUAGAGAGAGUGCAUCGCCUAUUCCUACUACUGGAACGAUGCUCCCCUUGCUAUUGCAGCUGAUGUAGCUCAACCUAUUCUUGCAGAUGCUGGAUCUUCUUAUGUCAUCAUUGACGAUAGCGACGAAGUGGGAACUGUGUCUCUGCCUUCGCUUGUUCUUACUCCUGAACCGGUGGUAGUUGCGCCUCCUGUUCAUACUACUGAAGAAGCUACUUCUGAAUAGGAACCUGAACCUCUUGGCCGAGGUUUUAGAUAGAAGAAGCCACCUACAUGACUUGCUGACUAUGUAGCAACAUUGUUACAUGAACUGACACUUUCGGCUACUCCAUAUCCUCUUGAAAAUUAUCUUUCCAGCGAGCACUUCUCAAUGAAUUAUCAAGCGUUCCUUGCUGUGAUAACUUCUGCUGUUGAACCACAGACUUACGCAGAGGCAAUCAAAGAUGAAAAAUGGAGAUUUGCAGUAACUCAUGAAAUUGAUUCUCUUGAAGAUCAAGGUACAUGGACAGUCGAAGCCUUACCUCCUGGAAAGAAAGCACCUGGUUGCAAAUGGGUAUUUAAAAUUAAAUUCAGAGCAGACGGCACGGUUGAGAGAUACAAGGCUCGGUUAGUGGUUCUUGGGAAUCAUCAAUAUGAAGGCAUUGAUUAUACUGAGACGUUCGCACCUGUCGCAAAGAUGGUUAUGGUCUGUACUUUUCUUCAGCAAGCAGUAUCUUUAGACUGAGAAGUACAUCAAAUGGAUGUUAAUAAUGCAUUUCUUCAUGGAGACCUCGAAGAGGAAGUGUAUAUGCAGUUUCCUCCUGGUUUUCGUACCAAUGACAAAACAAAAGUAUGUCGUUUGUGAAAAUCGCUUUAUGGCUUAAAGCAAGCGCCUCGAUGUUGGUUCGGAAAAAUUGCGGCUGCUUUGAAAGAGUAUGGUUUCGAAAAAAUCAUUCUGAUUACUCUCUCUUCAUUUAUGCUGCAGCUGGAGUUCGGUUACAUGUACUUGUGUACGUCGAUGAUUUGAUCAUCACUGGAAGUUCUGCUGCGAUUAUCACUGAGUUCAAACAGUAUUUGAGUACGAAAUUUCAUAUGAAGGAUUUGGGAGUCUUGCGAUAUUUUUUGGGGAUUGAAAUUGCUCGCAGUCCCGCAUGAAUUUACUUGUGUCGACGGAAGUAUGCUCUGGAUAUUAUUACAGAAACUGAUCUUCUUGGGGUCAAGCCUGUCUCGUUUCCUUUGGAACAAAAUCACAAGCUUGCUCAUGCCAAAGAUACUCCAUUCUCUGCACCGUCCAGAUACCGUAGACUGAUUGGUCGUAUCAUAUAUCUUGGAGUCACGAGACCAGAGCUUUCGUAUGUGAUACAUUUAUUGUCGCAGUUUAUGAAUGAUCCGCAAGAAGAACAUUGGAAUGCUGCUCUUCGUGUUGUACGAUACCUAAAGAAUAGUCCAAGACAGGGAAUACUUCUUCGUGCAAACACUGAGCUGAAGAUUACAGCAUGGUGAGAUGCGGACUGGGGCACUUGUCCGACCACUCAUCGUUCACUCACGGGAUGGUUCAUGCAAUUAGGAGGUUCUCCGGUAUCUUGGAAAACACAUAAGCAUGAUGUUGUCUCGCGAUCGUCUGCCGAGGCAGAGUACCGCGCAAUGGCUGAUACUGUUAGCGAACUUCUUUGGUUUCGCGGGUUGCUUCCAGAAAUGGGGAUAACGUGUGAUGCUCCUAUUGUUCUCCAUUCAGAUAGUAUGUCUGCAAUUCAUUUGGCCAAGAACCCUGUGUAUCACGCUCGCACCAAGCAUGUUGGGAAUGAUUGCCACUUCAUUCGAGAUGAGAUCAUUCGAGGCACGAUUGCAACUAAACAUGUCUCGACGAAGUCGCAGCUCACGGAAAUUAUGACAAAGGCACUGGGACGUCGAGAGUUUGAAGAAUUCCUUGGCAAGCUGGGUGUUUGUAACCUCCACACUCCACCUUGAGAGGGGGUAUUGGGCCAUAUUGGGCCGAUGUAUCUAUUGUAAGUAGCCCGGUUCAUAUAACGGGAUUAGGGCAAAAGAACAUACAUUGUAUAUAAGCAGUUAGUCUGCGUUACUUGAUGAAUAAGAAGUAUUAUUUAUACUGCUGAGACUUCUUGACAGAGAUGGUUAAGAACGGGAGAAGCGAGAGUAGGUUCAUUUUUGUCAAAAUGUGAUCUAAGGUCUAAUUUUCGUGUCUAGCCAGCUUAUAAACGUCAUUGAAGAAAAUAUAUGUACCUCUGACAUAAAGUGUGUGAUCGUGGAUUCGUGGGUAUAUCUUAGCUUUAGUGUAUUCGAAUUCACGAUAUGUGAAGAUGUACGUGACUUAGAGCAGGAUUAUCGCGGGUUACAAGAAGGGGUUUCAAGUGGUGGGACCCAUUUUUUGGGUUAAAAACGGUAACAGAGGAGAGGAAAUAAGGAUCGACUUUGGUAUAUUUCUUGCACUAUUCAUAGACCCCACUGACACGUGACGACCCGCGAUUGGUGGUCUUUUUAAUUUUUUUUUUUUUUAAUCAGCUUGAAAAAAAAAUGGGAAAAUUUGUGCCUAUGAAAACCUGGUCUUAACCUUAGUUAAUUCUAGAUGAAUGGCCUAGUGCGUCGCUCUCAAUGGAAGUAUUUUAGUUGUUAUUGUGUCACUAGUCGAGUUUAAUAUUAUGAAUUUUUUUUUGACAAUUUUAUUAUAUUUUGAUAAUUGGUACGAAGUGAUAUUUAUGAGGUCAUUUGUUUUUAAUAUUUGUUUUUAAAAUACACAAAAGUACAAUAAAAAUAUUUUGUUUAUUACAAAAGUCAGCAAUAGAAACUAUCAUAAAGUCACAAGGUACAUAUACGCAUAAAUGAAGUAUUACGGGUGAUCUUAAUUUGUAGAAUUGAUCAUCACCAUAUGUAUUAACUCAACUUUUUACUCUGUACGUAUAAACGAUUUGCUUCGUUCACUCUUAGAAUCAGAACUCUAAAAGUUAAUUAAUUGAUCAUAUGUGGUACACUGGUACUUGUCAUUAUGGCACCAAGCGAAUUUCACUUUACGGCGAAUGAGAACGCAUCCGAUUUUUUCAUAUAACUAACGUUUGAAUUGUUUUCGAGCAUGAUUAACCCAGAAUUCUUAGAAUAGGGUUUUUAGCGGAAGUUAAGAAUCUCACUGUAAGAACUCCGAGUUAAUCGUGAUCUUAUGUGGCAUGAAUUAUCUCAGAGUUCAGAGGUCGACUCGUAUUUUAUUAUAAUAUGACAUCGAUGUGUGCUAAUUUAAUAUUUUUUAUUGAUGGCUUAUCCAGUAGUUUAGAAGUUGUUUAAAAAGUUGAGCAAAUAGAUUUUAUAUGAUUCGUAGACCGAAUUCAAGAUUUGGGAUUUUCUCAAAAUAUCUGAAUUUGGGAUAAUUUUGUUUAUUAUCUGGAUAUCUAUACUAAAUUCUUAUGCUUAUAUUCUAACUACCGUGAUAACACGUAAAUAUAUUGUAUAUAUGUCACUUUAUCCAAAUACUUUUAAUGCAUUUGUCUAAACAUGAGAAAGUCAGCAGUCUGCAGUAUUUUCGUAUGCGUUUAAUCCGGUAAAUCGAACUAAUACAAUGUUAACCUAAUUAACAAAUCAAUUCAGAAAACUAAAUAUAUUUGAUUAUGUUUUAAAUAGAAUCAUGUUUUUUCAUUGGGAAUCAAGAUAAAAGUUUUACAAUAUAUAUAUAUAUAUAUUUAAAUUCAUAAAUCAGAAAUCUUAAAAGACAAAAUCUAAGAGGGAACCUAAAUUCUGAUUAAACAACACCGCUAUUUAUUUCUCUUACCGAAACACUCGAGCUGUAUUGUAUGCGUGGUGACCGUUUGGCACGAAAUAAUUUGCAUCUAUUCGUGGGUCGGGUUCACUAGUCAAAGUAUCGAUUGCGUAACUUUUCAAGUUACUGGUCCGUUGAUUUGUGGUAAUUCUUGGCACAUCUAAUCUACGAUAAAUUAAAAUUAGUUUUCUAUUUUAAAGUUGUAAUAUACUAUGAAUUUAGCUUCAAAAAACAUAAUUUGUUUUAUGCAAAUGCAACGAGAUGCCACACUCUCAAUAAUGUCGACAUGAAAAAGGAAAAUAAGACUAAUAUGCCCAUGAGAAUAUCCCCAAGAUUCCCCAUGCAAACGAGAGUAGCUACAGUAAUUAUAUAAUACAAAUCAUGUCUUAUAUAUUCAGUUAUCCCUUAUUGUCAAUUAUUUACAAAGCCUACCAUAAUUUUCAUUAAGCAAACAUACAUUGAAUAAUUACAUAUAUUGACGCAGUAAUAUAUUUCGAACACGAUGAUAGAGAUACACAUACUCCCUAAACAUGAUCCAAAGUACUCAUAAAUCUACCAAGCUACAAAACGGUGUCCAACAUUUGAUUAUUUGUAAUGGUUAUUUAUAUAUCUUCGGUGGGUGUCUCCUCAUCGGUAUCAGGCAAAUUAAAGAAAACAAAAGCAAAUAAGUUUCUAAAUUGCCCGUACGUGUGAAGUUUGAACAAUUUAUUAGUAAUGCAGUAGUAAUGCAUGAUACCGAUUAUUUAUUCAUGAAUCGACGUUGACGGGAAGAAAAAUAAUAAUUGAUGUUGACAUGAAUAAGGAGAGCUUGCCACGAAGAUGGUAGGAGCCGACAGAAAGCUAAAGUCCAUAAUUAAUUAUUUUGUUAAAAGAUAGUACUAAUGAUCGACUAUAGACCAUAACUUAGUAUUCCUCAUUUAUUAUUGUCUAUUUUCUACCAGCGAUGAUAAACACAAAUGAAACACACAGCAAAUUGUAAAUUCUGAUUCGAGAUGCAAUCUUAGAAACCUUAGCAAAGAAAACUUUAGAAUGCAACCAAACCAACUCAAAGUAAACCGAAAGAAUUAAUUGAGUCGAUGUUCCAGUUUUUGGAAGUAAAACCUCCAUUAUAUGCUGGUUAAUUACAUUUUUAUCAUUAAACUUUGAAAUGUUAUAAGAGAUCUAUGUUUAUUUAUUUAUUUGUGAUUAAUUAAUUCUCUGAUAUUUAUUGGAAAUAUUUGGAUUAUGCGGCCAAUAUAAUUUCUUUUAAGUGCUUGUAUAAUUAAAUAAAGUUGGUAGCCAUAUAGUCUAAAGUUGUGAUUGGUAUUUACGAUACUUUUUCCCUAAAGAUAAUUACUUUAAGAUGUUGACGAUGAAAUCCACGCGGUUUACGGAAUCUUCAGUUAACCGAGACAAUUAUUCCAUUCCAUCAAAUGUGAUUUGAGAAAUUAAUUGAAUGCUAAAUAUUUUCUCAAUCAUGGUUAACAUUUUAAUUUAGACUUCCGUAUACUUGACAUUUUCUUUUGCUUUUUGCUUUUUGUAUAUUGUUUACACUCUACAAACUUGAAUACACAAUAACAACAAACACAAUCCAUUAUCAGGUGUGCAACAUAAGUACAUUAAGUAGGGAACAAAACCAACGGCGAGACAGUGAAGCAACUUCUCUCGCACAAAAAAUCUUGUAAAAACAAUUGAUAAAAAGCGUUUAAAAUCGUCUGAUGUUAAGCGAAACAUAGGAAAUACAUAGUAUGAGGAUAUACAAUAACUUGCUACCUAUAACUAAACAGUAUAUAGAUUUAUCGCUAAUUAUUGAAUUUGUUUAGACUAAUGAUUGUGCUACUUUUGUAAUCUCUAAAUUAUCAAAACUUAUUGGACCAUAUAAAAUUAAGUGGAAGGUUGUUUCAUAUUGUAUAAAUAUCAUAUCGGAGACUUGGCAUUUCCGAUGAUAUUUUUACGUACACAUCCCAUUCGUAUCAUCUAAGGACACCACUUUGGUCAGUACAAGUGUACAACAUCUUUGGUCUUUUUUUCGUCAUCCUUUUGACGCAAUUAUAUGUAACUUUAGUGUUGUCUUAUUUUCUUUUGCCUCUUCGAUCUCUCUUUUUUUUAUUACUACUUUUAGAGCUACACUUUACGUUGCUAAAAAAAAAACUACACUUUAGAGCAUCUCCAAAAAACAUUAUAUAACUUCAAAUAUGAAGUUUUUUGCUCUCCAAAAAAGAACUUCAAAACUUCAAAUUUAAAGUUUUGAGGAGUCAAACUCUAUAUUUGAAGUUUCACUACUCAAAACUUCAAAUUUGAAAUUUCAUAUUUUUAUUUGUAUUUUGGUCCAUACAAUUACACAUCACAUUUAUAAUUCAUAAUUUUUUUAUUAUUAUUUUCAUCCUUAUAAAAAUUAUAUCUCAUAAGUAUUUUAAGUUUUGUUUACAAAAUUUAAGUUUACACAUAAAAUUAAAUAAAACUUUAAAAGAAGAUUUAAAAUAUUUAAAACUAGAUUUAGAUAACAAAAAUAUACAAAAAAACUUAACAAUUUUUUUUUAAGAAAUUACAUGAAGACAUAACUAUUAGACAAAUUUAAAUAUUACAAUGACACUAAUAGUCAGGUAAUUUUAAUCCGGAACCUUUAAAAUUUCCAAAUAUUGUCCAAUUUUUUUUGUGUAAUUGAAGAUGAUUGUUGUUGUUGAUGAUGUCUUUUCGUACAAUUAUUUCUUGUUCUUAUAUUCACGAGUAUUAAUAUCAUCGAUAAAAGUUAGUUUUUAGCAAUAUUUUAUGUUUUUCUUUUACUUUCUUGUUCUGAUCUAAUGUAUUUACAAGUAUGAAUAUCUCCUGAUUUCAACAAUUUUUUAUCUCUAAUCUACAAAUUAAAAAUGAGGAGAGCUAUUUUUCCUUCGAAAUGCACUAGUAUAUCAUAUAUGCAUUACGAAAAUCGCUUUAUGGAAUAAUAUGGUAUUUUGGUUGAAGCUUAAUAUUAAUUAAGUUAUUUUGUUUAAAAUUUUAUAUUUUAAUAUAAUAAUUUAUUAAUUAAUAUUGUUGUAAUAUGUUUAUAUAUGUGUUAGUUAUUUAAUUUUUUUUUAUGAAUUCAAAUUAGUAAUGACAAAUAUAAGGACCAUAUUAUAAAAUACAAAUAGUUUUGAAGUUAAGUUUGAAGUUUUGCUUUUGGAGAAAAACACCUUUAAACUUCAAAUAUAGAGUUUUGAAAACUUCAAAAUAGAGUUCAUUUUUGGAGACGCUCUUACAAGCCAUUUUUCAAUUUAUGUGUUGUGUGGUUUGAUUAUAUUGGAUGAAUUCAAAUAUAUUUUCAAAGCAUCAAAUGCUUUAUUUUCUUUUUGGUAAAUUUCAGUUAAGCUCUAGAUAACGACAAAAGAUAACUAUAUUCUAAACCUGAUUUCUAUAACUAGAGCUCUCUUCCAAUGAUAAAACUAAACACCUAUACAAAACCCAAAUUUUGCGGCAGGGCCAAGUUAAGAAAGACAAAUACCGAGAAGUGAGUUAACUUCAACAAAUGUAAAAGAACAUUAAAAUUUUAAAAUAAUAGAAAAUGAUAAACAAAAGCAAAGACGAUGGACCACACACAAAAUAAUAGCAAGUGAGCAGGACGAAAAAUGGAAAAAGAAGAAGAAAGGGAUAAGAAAAAUAGUUGGUAAAAUCUAACUGCCACAAUACUAGAAAAAGAGCAUAGAAAUGGGAAGGCAAACAGAGAAGCCUAAUUGGCUAAUGUCCAACGCAUGUCACUCUACCUACAAAUCUCAGUGGUCCUUAACAUCUACUUCUAACCAACCUCUUGAGUACAAUUAUCUAGAAAAUGCAUACAUACACAUAAGUCACGUAACAAAACCAUUACUGACAUCACCAUGUUAUAUCAUCAUGCCUUUAUGAAAUUAACAAACAUUGUUUUAGUCGUGAUAUACAGAAGAUAACAGCUAUCGGACCAAUAAUCUGCCUUGAUGAUAGGAGAUAUUUUUCGUACCAAUUGUUUAUUUUUAAUAUUUUACUUACCAUCCUUUAUUUUUGGGACGCGGAGAAUUUCAUGUAACAAAGAGCUCAAGACCAGAUGGUAAGGCCCCUUGCUUCCCUAGUGUGUGGGUGGGUUUUUGUUUUUGAAGAAACAAUAUUUAUGAGAAGAUGUCACUUUCUAAAAUUCUUAUUGGAUUAGGUAUUUUUUGGAACUGCGUUAUUAAAAACUACCCACUUUUUACAAUCUGUUCAUUAAAAACUUGUCAAAAAUAUGUUCUGGUCUAUCAAAACUUGCUCAUCACUUAGUAAUAAUGCUCCUUUUUAACUAAACACUUAAACUUAGUCGAUUAGAAACCAAACUAGUAUAUAUUUUGCACAUAUAUAUAUCUUACAAGUAACUCAUCCAUAGACAAGUUUAUAGGUGCUAGAUCUCGAAGCUGGACAUGUUUUGAUAGAACAUAACGUACUUUUGAACAAGUUCUGAUAGAAAAUAUCAAAAGUGGUAGUUUCUAAUACUUUUUUUUCUUAAUAUGGUAGAUCCAAAAGAUUUUGUUUUAAAAGGGCUAAAUGAGGAAAAACCUAAAUAGUGUAAUAAAAUAAUUAUACAAGAGGAAUUUAACACUUUUGAUUUAUUGUAGUACUGAUUCAUUGUAACGUCUUGAUGCGUCAACGUGAGCCCAUGUACAUAUUCUUAUCAAUGGGUUUCACCCUCUUCGAUAUCUUGCGCGUUAUCGAAAGAGUUCAAAAGAACUGAUAUAACCCUGUAACAUGAUCAUAUCCCAUAUUUUGUCCUAACUCAUACGAUAUUAAGAUUGAUCAGCAAUCAGCAAUCUGAUAGGUUAUCCAUUUUUUAAUUAGUCCAGUUCAAACAUAUUCAAAUGGUUAACUGGAAAAUCAAGUGUAUUUUAUAUCAGAGGCAACCAACAUCAAUUUUUAUGUCUUUUCUAUUUAAUCUACUAACUGGGGUAUUACGUACGUUGAUCCCACAGUCCGCAAUAGCAUCUCCAGCUACUGAGACUCUAACCCUACCUUAACUUCUGACAUGCUUUUUUGGUUUUCAACUUCUUAAGACCUAGUCUGCUUGAUAUCACGGAUUGCGAUCUCUUCUUCAACAAUCUCUCUGCAUGAUUGCGAUCUCUUCCUCCUCUAUGCUGUUUAUACUUGGACAAAGUAUUUUCUUCUAUUGAAGUAUAAAAUCUAUGGGUCUUUGCCCGUAGCAAACACUAUCUGGCCUGGGCUGUAUCAUCUUUGUAUCUUUUUAUUUAAAUAGCAAACUUAUCCUCAAAAACAAAUAUACCACCAUAAUUACAAAUUACAAUAUCGGCCUAAUCAUUUUCAAUAUGUUAGAUGAAGCCCAGUAUAUUCAACAAGCCCAUUAUAUUUUUAGUCUCGAAUUCAAUUUUAUUAACUCAGAUCCACCUACUCCUACCGGUCAUUAUCCCUUGAAACUCCUGAACAAGAUGGCAUCAGAUCUUACCGGGCGCUUUUAUGUCAGUAGAAGAAGCUUACCUCCAAAUCCUCAGUGUUUAUGUAUGUUUAACGCAGCCAAAACAACACGUUUUGUGUAAUAUUAAUUCCCAGUGUCUUUUUGUUCAUUGUAAUGCCAUUGGUUGUAACAUUAAUGCACAACUUCAACUGAACACUACCAAUAAAAACGUUUGUGAAAAAAGGUAAAUGUUAUUGCCAGUGAUCUAGACUCGUUACCAGUUUUAGGUCGGAAGGAAGCAUCAGUCCCAUUUAGUUUAUGGUUAACACGUUUUUUAGUUGAUUAGUGCGUAAUAAUGACCUGAAAUUAUAGCCUAUUCUCCGCUACAGUUAGAAGCAACGUAGCAUUCUGAUGAAGACUUGAUCUGUUUAAACCACACCUAACCCAUCGUUGCACCAAACUUUCUUUUUUUCAUUCAUACUUCAAGAAAUCUCAAUGCUCCUAAACUCUUUAUAUAACACACACAAUACUUCACCAAUUGUGACUUGGAGCUUCCAUCUCAAACACAAUGGAUUCAACUUCAAUCAUUUGGUCUCUUCUAUUAGCUUUUGCUCUUAUCUCUCCCUUUAGUGUCAAUGCACAAGGACCUGCCGCUUCACCAGCAACCCCCACCACCACUACUCCUCCUCCAACCAUCACUGUUCCUCCACCAACAACCACUGCUACGCCACCAACAACCACUGUUCCCCCCCCAACAACCACUGCUCAGCCUCCAACAACAGUCGUUCCGCCCGUUUCAGCUACUCCGCCACCAGCAACACCGACUACACCUCCACCAGCAGUUACUCCAACUUCAUCACCACCAGCUCCAAAGGUUGCACCAGUAAUCAGUCCAGUAACUCCACCUCCACAACCACCACCAAGCCCGCCCGUUUCAGCUCCAACCGUCUCACCACCACCAGCUACACCACCACCUGCACCGGCCUCUCCUCCACCGGCGUCACCACCUGCACCAACUUCUCCACCACCAGCACCAGCCUCACCCCCUCCAGCGCUUACGCCAAUAACUCUACCACCAGCUCCAGCUCCUGCUAAGCACAAGAAAAAGCACAAACACAAGCGGCAUCACCAUGCCCCGGCUCCAGCACCAACUCCUCCAAGCCCUCCAUCUC